CUCUUGGCAAUAAAGCGCCCUUAUUUUUAAUGGUGCUUUAAGGAAAAGAGCUCUAAAAAGCUUUUGUGUUAAGAGUAUGCCGGGGAAGGUUUUCCGGUUUAUCCCGGAGGGCUUGUAGCUCAGUUGGUUAGAGCGCGCGCUUGAUAAGCGUGAGGUCGGAGGUUCAAGUCCUCCCAGGCCCACCAAUCACUCUAUCAAUUUAAUGAAGCGCUAGCGAGCUUGCUUAUAGGAUGCUUUCCUAUCAAAUCUGCAAACUGCUAAAAUAAAGUCUACAAACCGAUAAAGCCUAUAAAUUUGUAARAARCUUACAUAUUUUGUUUGGUAAUGCCUUAAACGCAUUUAAAAACACCGAUCAUUUGUCAUAGGACUUCAAAGUGAUGUCAUCACUUGAAUUUUAAGAGUGAACUUAAAUUUUAAGGGUGAAAUUGUCAUUUAAAAUGAAGUUUUAUUGAUGAUGAAGUUCUAUUGAUUAAGUUGGUAGAUAAGAUUAAGUCCGUAGAUAAAAUAUGGUUUGUUUAUCAGGGUGUUUGAAAAGGACAUUUAUCAUUUGCGAAGGGCAUUUGUAAAAGGGAAGAGCUUUACUGUUUGCUUUAGGCAAAUCCAAA
Molecule: unclassified non-coding RNA, 605 nt
Filed under: uncultured Bartonella sp.
Lineage: Bacteria; Pseudomonadati; Pseudomonadota; Alphaproteobacteria; Hyphomicrobiales; Bartonellaceae
Description: partial 16S-23S ribosomal RNA intergenic spacer
Rfam family: tRNA (bases 109-182)
Source: RNAcentral